AGCAUGGUGUAGUGGCUUGAGUGUUGGACUAGGACUCCAGGAGUCCAGGGAUCAAAUUCCUGCUUUGCUG
This 70-nucleotide transfer RNA is filed under the name Phrynosoma platyrhinos (Desert horned lizard). RNAcentral's name for it is "tRNA-OTHER". The record is from RNAcentral. Lineage: Eukaryota; Metazoa; Chordata; Lepidosauria; Squamata; Phrynosomatidae.